GGGUUGUGAGGUUAAGCGACUAAGCGUACACGGUGGAUGCCCUGGCAGUCAGAGGCGAUGAAGGACGUGCUAAUCUGCGAAAAGCGCCGGCGAGGUGAUAUGAACCUUUGACCCGGCGAUGUCCGAAUGGGGAAACCCAGUGUGAUUCGUCACACUAUCGUUAACUGAAUACAUAGGUUAACGAGGCGAACCGGGGGAACUGAAACAUCUAAGUACCCCGAGGAAAAGAAAUCAACCGAGAUUCCCCCAGUAGCGGCGAGCGAACGGGGAGCAGCCCAGAGUCUGAAUCAGCUUGUGUGUUAGUGGAAGCGUCUGGAAAGUCGCACGGUACAGGGUGACAGUCCCGUACACGAAAAUGCACAGGUUGUGAACUCGAAGAGUAGGGCGGGACACGUGGUAUCCUGUCUGAAUAUGGGGGGACCAUCCUCCAAGGCUAAAUACUCCUGACUGACCGAUAGUGAACCAGUACCGUGAGGGAAAGGCGAAAAGAACCCCGGCGAGGGGAGUGAAAAAGAACCUGAAACCGUGUACGUACAAGCAGUGGGAGCACCUUCGUGGUGUGACUGCGUACCUUUUGUAUAAUGGGUCAGCGACUUAUAUUCUGUAGCAAGGUUAACCGUAUAGGGGAGCCGAAGGGAAACCGAGUCUUAACUGGGCGUUAAGUUGCAGGGUAUAGACCCGAAACCCGGUGAUCUAGCCAUGGGCAGGUUGAAGGUUGGGUAACACUAACUGGAGGACCGAACCGACUAAUGUUGAAAAAUUAGCGGAUGACUUGUGGCUGGGGGUGAAAGGCCAAUCAAACCGGGAGAUAGCUGGUUCUCCCCGAAAGCUAUUUAGGUAGCGCCUCGUGAACUCAUCUUCGGGGGUAGAGCACUGUUUCGGCUAGGGGGCCAUCCCGGCUUACCAACCCGAUGCAAACUACGAAUACCGAAGAAUGUUAUCACGGGAGACACACGGCGGGUGCUAACGUCCGUCGUGAAGAGGGAAACAACCCAGACCGCCAGCUAAGGUCCCAAAGUCAUGGUUAAGUGGGAAACGAUGUGGGAAGGCACAGACAGCCAGGAUGUUGGCUUAGAAGCAGCCAUCAUUUAAAGAAAGCGUAAUAGCUCACUGGUCGAGUCGGCCUGCGCGGAAGAUGUAACGGGGCUAAACCAUGCACCGAAGCUGCGGCAGCGACGCUUAUGCGUUGUUGGGUAGGGGAGCGUUCUGUAAGCCGUUGAAGGUGGCCUGUGAGGGUUGCUGGAGGUAUCAGAAGUGCGAAUGCUGACAUAAGUAACGAUAAAGCGGGUGAAAAGCCCGCUCGCCGGAAGACCAAGGGUUCCUGUCCAACGUUAAUCGGGGCAGGGUGAGUCGACCCCUAAGGCGAGGCCGAAAGGCGUAGUCGAUGGGAAACAGGUUAAUAUUCCUGUACUUGGUGUUACUGCGAAGGGGGGACGGAGAAGGCUAUGUUAGCCGGGCGACGGUUGUCCCGGUUUAAGCAUGUAGGCGGAACGAUUAGGUAAAUCCGGUCGUUUAUUAACGCUGAGGUGUGAUGACGAGGCACUACGGUGCUGAAGUAACAAAUGCCCUGCUUCCAGGAAAAGCCUCUAAGCAUCAGGUAACAUCAAAUCGUACCCCAAACCGACACAGGUGGUCAGGUAGAGAAUACCAAGGCGCUUGAGAGAACUCGGGUGAAGGAACUAGGCAAAAUGGUGCCGUAACUUCGGGAGAAGGCACGCUGAUAUGUAGGUGAAGCCCCUGCGGGUGGAGCUGAAAUCAGUCGAAGAUACCAGCUGGCUGCAACUGUUUAUUAAAAACACAGCACUGUGCAAACACGAAAGUGGACGUAUACGGUGUGACGCCUGCCCGGUGCCGGAAGGUUAAUUGAUGGGGUUAGCGGCAACGCGAAGCUCUUGAUCGAAGCCCCGGUAAACGGCGGCCGUAACUAUAACGGUCCUAAGGUAGCGAAAUUCCUUGUCGGGUAAGUUCCGACCUGCACGAAUGGCGUAAUGAUGGCCAGGCUGUCUCCACCCGAGACUCAGUGAAAUUGAACUCGCUGUGAAGAUGCAGUGUACCCGCGGCAAGACGGAAAGACCCCGUGAACCUUUACUAUAGCUUGACACUGAACACUGGUCCUUGAUGUGUAGGAUAGGUGGGAGGCUUUGAAGUGUGGACGCCAGUCUGCAUGGAGCCGUCCUUGAAAUACCACCCUUUAAUGGCUGGUGUUCUAACGUAGACCCGUAAUCCGGGUUGCGGACAGUGUCUGGUGGGUAGUUUGACUGGGGCGGUCUCCUCCCAAAGAGUAACGGAGGAGCACGAAGGUUAGCUAAUCCUGGUCGGACAUCAGGAGGUUAGUGCAAUGGCAUAAGCUAGCUUGACUGCGAGAGUGACGGCUCGAGCAGGUGCGAAAGCAGGUCAUAGUGAUCCGGUGGUUCUGAAUGGAAGGGCCAUCGCUCAACGGAUAAAAGGUACUCCGGGGAUAACAGGCUGAUACCGCCCAAGAGUUCAUAUCGACGGCGGUGUUUGGCACCUCGAUGUCGGCUCAUCACAUCCUGGGGCUGAAGUAGGUCCCAAGGGUAUGGCUGUUCGCCAUUUAAAGUGGUACGCGAGCUGGGUUUAGAACGUCGUGAGACAGUUCGGUCCCUAUCUGCCGUGGGCGCUGGAGAAUUGAGGGGGGCUGCUCCUAGUACGAGAGGACCGGAGUGGACGCAUCACUGGUGUUCGGGUUGUCAUGCCAAUGGCACUGCCCGGUAGCUAAAUGCGGAAAAGAUAAGUGCUGAAAGCAUCUAAGCACGAAACUUGCCCCGAGAUGAGUUCUCCCUGAGACUUUAAGUCUCCUGAAGGAACGUUGAAGACGACGACGUUGAUAGGUCGGGUGUGUAAGCGCAGCGAUGCGUUGAGCUAACCGAUACUAAUGAACCGUGAGGCUUAACCUUACAACGCCGAAG
This 2927-nucleotide ribosomal RNA is filed under the name Enterobacter cloacae. RNAcentral's name for it is "bacterial LSU rRNA". It matches the Rfam family "Bacterial large subunit ribosomal RNA". Lineage: Bacteria; Pseudomonadati; Pseudomonadota; Gammaproteobacteria; Enterobacterales; Enterobacteriaceae. The record is from RNAcentral.